This 503-nucleotide ribosomal RNA is filed under the name uncultured bacterium. RNAcentral describes it as "bacterial SSU rRNA". It matches the Rfam family "Bacterial small subunit ribosomal RNA", at positions 8 to 518 of the family's 1533-position model. The record is from RNAcentral.
AGAGUUUGAUUCUGGCUCAGAGUUAACGCUGGCAUCGUGCAUAACACAUGCAAGUCGAACGGGACUUACUUGUAGCAAUACAGAGUAAAGUUUAGUGGCAGACGGGUGAGUAAUGUAUAAGAAACCUACCUCUGAGUGGGGGAAUAACAGUCCGAAAGGAUUGCUAAUACCCCAUAACAUAAUGAAAAGGCAUCUUUCUAUUAUCAAAGAUUUAUCGCUUGGAGAUGGUCUUAUAUUCUAUCAGCUAGUUGGCAGUGUAACGGACUACCAAGGCUACGACGGAUAGCCGGCCUGAAAGGGCGACCGGCCACAAGGGCACUGAGACACGGGCCCUACUCCUACGGGAGGCAGCAGUGGGGAAUUUUGGACAAUGGGCGCAAAGCCUGAUCCAGCAACGAUGCGUGGAGGAUGAAGGUUCUCGGAUUGUAAACUCCUUUUGUAAGGGAAGAAAAAAUGACGGUACCUUACGAAUAAGCCACGGCUAACUACGUGCCAGCCGCCGC